Long non-coding RNA from Xiphias gladius (swordfish), 349 nucleotides. RefSeq lists it as uncharacterized. The record is from RefSeq and is a predicted model, not a curated record. The transcript has 3 exons. NCBI's taxonomy places the organism in Eukaryota, Metazoa, Chordata, Actinopteri, Istiophoriformes, Xiphiidae.
GCUGUUUCACAGCCGGCGAGGUGGCUGCAUACAGAACGUACUGGAAUGGGGUCCUCUUGACACCAUUUUCAGCCAUUAGCCUGGCUUCUUCGUUUUUCAAGAAAGGUGCCAAGGCCUCUCUGAAAGAGACCAGAAGGAAAGAGGAAGGGCUGAGCAUGGAGAUGAGAAAGGAUCUGUUCGAAGGUUUUAAUCCGUGACAAAGCUUCAAUCAAGGCAACAGUGGAAUAAUUUGAGAUCAUCAGCAACAAGACCUGUAGGAGUCCAGGGAUUAUGUCGGGCAGCAGCUGUAGUAGCGAGUCCUUGGCAAUGCGUUCAAUGACUUUGGUUUGCAUCUUGAUGGCAGCCAGGU